AACGCUUUGUGGUUCAACUGAUUUGAAGAGCUUGCUCAGAUAUGACGAUGGACAUUGCAAAGAGUGGCGAACGGGUGAGUAACACGUGGGAAACCUACCUCUUAGCAGGGGAUAACAUUUGGAAACAGAUGCUAAUACCGUAUAACAAUGACAACCGCAUGGUUGUUAUUUAAAAGAUGGUUCUGCUAUCACUAAGAGAUGGUCCCGCGGUGCAUUAGCUAGUUGGUAAGGUAAUGGCUUACCAAGGCGAUGAUGCAUAGCCGAGUUGAGAGACUGAUCGGCCACAAUGGGACUGAGACACGGCCCAUACUCCUACGGGAGGCAGCAGUAGGGAAUCUUCCACAAUGGGCGAAAGCCUGAUGGAGCAACGCCGCGUGUGUGAUGAAGGGUUUCGGCUCGUAAAACACUGUUGUAAGAGAAGAAUGACAUUGAGAGUAACUGUUCAAUGUGUGACGGUAUCUUACCAGAAAGGAACGGCUAAAUACGUGCCAGCAGCCGCGGUAAUACGUAUGUCCCGAGCGUUAUCCGGAUUUAUUGGGCGUAAAGCGAGCGCAGACGGUUGAUUAAGUCUGAUGUGAAAGCCCGGAGCUCAACUCCGGAAUGGCAUGGGAAACUGGUUAACUUGAGUGUUGUAGAGGUAAGUGGAACUCCAUGUGUAGCGGUGGAAUGCGUAGAUAUAUGGAAGAACACCAGUGGCGAAAGCGGCUUUCUGGACUGUAACUGACGUUGAGGCUCGAAAGUGUGGGU
RNAcentral lists this ribosomal RNA (747 nucleotides) under uncultured Weissella sp. Its description in RNAcentral is "bacterial SSU rRNA". It matches the Rfam family "Bacterial small subunit ribosomal RNA", at positions 59 to 766 of the family's 1533-position model. The record is from RNAcentral. Lineage: Bacteria; Bacillati; Bacillota; Bacilli; Lactobacillales; Lactobacillaceae.